RNAcentral lists this ribosomal RNA (728 nucleotides) under uncultured bacterium. Its description in RNAcentral is "bacterial SSU rRNA". It matches the Rfam family "Bacterial small subunit ribosomal RNA", at positions 79 to 798 of the family's 1533-position model. The record is from RNAcentral.
CUUGCUUCUCUUGAGAGCGGCGGACGGGUGAGUAAUGCCUAGGAAUCUGCCUGGUAGUGGGGGAUAACGUUCGGAAACGGACGCUAAUACCGCAUACGUCCUACGGGAGAAAGCAGGGGACCUUCGGGCCUUGCGCUAUCAGAUGAGCCUAGGUCGGAUUAGCUAGUUGGUGGGGUAAUGGCUCACCAAGGCGACGAUCCGUAACUGGUCUGAGAGGGUGAUCAGUCACACUGGAACUGAGACACGGUCCAGACUCCUACGGGAGGCAGCAGUGGGGAAUAUUGGACAAUGGGCGAAAGCCUGAUCCAGCCAUGCCGCGUGUGUGAAGAAGGUCUUCGGAUUGUAAAGCACUUUAAGUUGGGAGGAAGGGUUGUAGAUUAAUACUCUGCAAUUUUGACGUUACCGACAGAAUAAGCACCGGCUAACUCUGUGCCAGCAGCCGCGGUAAUACAGAGGGUGCAAGCGUUAAUCGGAAUUACUGGGCGUAAAGCGCGCGUAGGUGGUUUGUUAAGUUGGAUGUGAAAUCCCCGGGCUCAACCUGGGAACUGCAUUCAAAACUGACUGACUAGAGUAUGGUAGAGGGUGGUGGAAUUUCCUGUGUAGCGGUGAAAUGCGUAGAUAUAGGGAAAGGAACACCAGGUGGCGAAGGCGACCACCUGGACUAAUACUUGACACUGAGGUGCGAAAGCGUGGGGGAGCAAACAAGAUUUAGAUACCUGGUAUUCCAC